Molecule: ribosomal RNA, 1055 nt
Filed under: Arminda latifrons
Lineage: Eukaryota; Metazoa; Arthropoda; Insecta; Orthoptera; Acrididae
Description: eukaryotic LSU rRNA
Rfam family: Eukaryotic large subunit ribosomal RNA
Source: RNAcentral
AGUAGCGGCGAGCGAACAGGGAAGAGUCCAGCACCGAACCCCGCAGGCUGCCGCCUGUCGUGGCAUGUGGUGUUUGGGAGGGUCCACCACCCCGACGCCUCGCGCCGAGUCCAAGUCCAACUUGAAUGAGGCCACGGCCCGUAGAGGGUGCCAGGCCCGUAGCGGCCGGUGCGAGCGUCGGCGGGACCUCUCCUUCAAGUCGGGUUGCUUGAGAGUGCAGCUCCAAGUGGGUGGUAAACUCCAUCUGAGACUGAAUACGACCACGAGACCGAUAGCGAACAAGUACCGUGAGGGAAAGUUGAAAAGAACUUUGAAGAGAGAGUUCAAAAGUACGUGAAACCGUUCUGGGGUAAACGUGAGAAGUCCGAAAGGUCGAACGGGCGAGAUUCACGCCCAUCCGGCCACUGGCCCCCGCCCUCGGCAGAUGGGGCCGGCCGCCCGCGCGGAGCAAUCCGCGGCGGGGUCGUGUCCGGUUGCCUUUCCACUCGCCGCGGGGUGGGGCCGUUCCAGUGCGCGGUGGGCCGCACUUCUCCCCUAGUAGGACGUCGCGACCCGCUGGGUGCCGGCCUACGGCCCGGGUGCGCAGCCUGUCCUUCCGCGGGCCUCGGUUCGCGUCUGUUGGGCAGAGCCCCGGUGUCCCGGCUGGCUGCUCGGCGGUACAUCUGGAGGAGUCGAUUCGCCAAACAAGGUGUUUGGGCGCCCGGGCUCCCGGCAAGCGCGCGCGGUUCUUCCCGGAUGACGGACCUACCUGGCCCGGCCCCGGACCCGCGCCGCUGUUGGCUCGGGAUGCUCUCGGGCGGAAUAAUCGCUCCCGUCAGCGGCGCUUCAGCUUUGGACAAUUUCACGACCCGUCUUGAAACACGGACCAAGGAGUCUAACAUGUGCGCGAGCCAUUGGGCUGCACGAAGCCUAAAGGCGUAAUGAAAGUGAAGGUCUCGUCUUGCGCGGGCCCAGGGAGGAUGGGGCUUCCCCGCCCUUCACGGGGCGGCGGCCUCCGCACUCCCGGGGCGUCUCGUCCUCAUUGCGAGGUGAGGCGCACCUAGAGCGUACACGUU